Molecule: ribosomal RNA, 160 nt
Filed under: Intromugil mugilicolus
Lineage: Eukaryota; Metazoa; Platyhelminthes; Trematoda; Plagiorchiida; Haploporidae
Description: partial 18S ribosomal RNA
Rfam family: Eukaryotic small subunit ribosomal RNA
Source: RNAcentral
UAGCUUGCGCUGAUUACGUCCCUGCCCUUUGUACACACCGCCCGUCGCUACUACCGAUUGAAUGGUUUAGCAAGGUCAUCGGAUUGGUGCCAUUGUAGUUGCUUCGGCAGCUCGACCGGUGCUGAAAAGACGACCGAACUUGAUCAUUUAGAGGAAGUAA